UUCAGAGCUGUGGACCUUCGUCGAACAGCUACCACAGGGCGGAUCGUGUCGUUCGCGAGAAGAGACUCGAUAGAUCGCAGUGUGGUAGCUGCUCUACUAAGCACGUCACUCCGAACGGCAAGUCGGGUCGUAUGCAAGCGAUCCCUUUCGUCUCGAUCUCUUCGAACUAGUCGGGGCGGGACGACGAGCAGACGACGACGGCGCGGACGCCGCAGCCGCCACCGCGUCCCCGAAUGGCAAUUCCGCCGGCGACGCCUGCCGCGCGUCGCGG
Long non-coding RNA from Octopus sinensis (East Asian common octopus), 271 nucleotides. RefSeq lists it as uncharacterized. Lineage: Eukaryota; Metazoa; Mollusca; Cephalopoda; Octopoda; Octopodidae. The record is from RefSeq and is a predicted model, not a curated record. The transcript has 3 exons.